AUUCGUACAACCGUUAGGUGAAUAAAACUGUAAUACUCUGUAGCAACUGGUUGGAAGACAGUAAAAAUUGUUAUUAGAAGAAGAUAGUUAUGUGUAUAAGUGAAUUCUAUGGGUUCAUGAGAGAAAAGUACUUAUACUACAUAACUGCAAACCCGUUCAUGUAUACAUAUUCAAAUAAAUGUCAGUUCACACACGAGCUUUUUUGUCGUCCUAACCGAUUUUUGGUGGGUGAAGAACGACGAGGAAUUGUCGCGUAGUCGAACCGCACAAACACUUGCAAAAAUUGUAUGGAAAGGAAAACAGAAAAACUCGACUAGAGUUGCUAGACUCGUGUCGCUCGUGUGACGCACUGAGUAUUGCGGACAAUUUUAACAGUGGCGAGUAAACAGAGCUGAACAUUGAAUGAAAGUUAUGCUCACAAAUAUGCAGGGCUGUUAUUGACGUAUGUUAGCCCUUUGGAUUACAUUUUUAUACGUUUGCAAUCACAUCUAUUAAUACGAAUAUAUUUUUUUACAUACAUAUUAAUGAAUACAUGCUUAACUGAUAAAAUUAUAAUAUUUAUAGUCAAUGUGCAAUUAAGGUCUAGAUUAAUUAUUUCCUAUGUUUGAUAAUACUAUAUAAUAUACUUUCAUAUGUACUUAAAAGUAUAUAUAUGUUAUGUGUAUUAUAAUAGCCGUGUUUAUUUGACCAUCACAAGCUAAUAGCUAAAUCAUGGACAAAUAAGACGCACUUAUAGCACGUUCACAUAUAAGCAGAUUAUGGUUAACAAAAAUUAACCUCGAAGCUAACCUUGUUGCGUUCACAUAUAGCAAAGAUAACCCAGUUAAAUAAGAGAAAUUGACAGCUGUA
Molecule: long non-coding RNA, 849 nt
Organism: Bactrocera neohumeralis
Lineage: Eukaryota; Metazoa; Arthropoda; Insecta; Diptera; Tephritidae
Exons: 2
Source: RefSeq, a predicted model, not a curated record